GCGGUCGCUGGUCGCUACUUUUGG
Molecule: non-coding RNA, 24 nt
Filed under: Arabidopsis thaliana (thale cress)
Lineage: Eukaryota; Viridiplantae; Streptophyta; Magnoliopsida; Brassicales; Brassicaceae
Source: RNAcentral